RNAcentral lists this ribosomal RNA (265 nucleotides) under uncultured bacterium. RNAcentral's name for it is "partial 16S ribosomal RNA". It matches the Rfam family "Bacterial small subunit ribosomal RNA", at positions 57 to 305 of the family's 1533-position model. The record is from RNAcentral.
GCAAGUCGAGCGAGACGGUUGUGAGUGAUCCUUCGGGUGAACAAUCAACUAGACAGCGGCGGACGGGUGAGUAACGCGUGGAUAACCUGCCUUAUACUGGGGGAUAACGUUUUGAAAAGAACGCUAAUACCGCAUAAGCGCACAAGACCGCAUGGUCUAGUGUGAAAAACUCCGGUGGUAUAAGAUGGAUCCGCGUCAGAUUAGCUAGUUGGUGAGAUAAAAGCUCACCAAGGCAACGAUCUGUAGCCGACCUGAGAGGGUGAUC